This 207-nucleotide ribosomal RNA is filed under the name uncultured bacterium. RNAcentral describes it as "partial 16S ribosomal RNA". It matches the Rfam family "Bacterial small subunit ribosomal RNA", at positions 568 to 774 of the family's 1533-position model. The record is from RNAcentral.
CUCGUAGGUGGUUUGUCGCGUUGUUCGUGAAAACUCACAGCUUAACUGUGGGCGUGCGGGCGAUACGGGCAGACUGGAGUACUGCAGGGGAGACUGGAAUUCCUGGUGUAGCGGUGGAAUGCGCAGAUAUCAGGAGGAACACCGGUGGCGAAGGCGGGUCUCUGGGCAGUAACUGACGCUGAGGAGCGAAGGCGUGGGGAGCGAAUA